CCCGUCGUACAGGUUGACUUUUCUCAACGAAUAUACGUUUCGAAACGACAUAGAGUAAAUACGUAAUACGAAACAACAAAGGUAUUGGUCAUUGUCAACAUAAAUUGUGAUUUACGUAUUGCUGCUACGGAUUAACGUGCUUACAUGAAGUAAUAAAUGCAAUCAAAGACCCAAAAUACAGUUAGAAUUUACUGAGGUCGUAGUGAAUAUCAGCUGCUGCAGUAGCCACCAGAAAGAUCGCGGGAGGCGCACAUCGGCACGGCGCGUCACGGACGGUAGUUGCCGCAAAUAGAGUCCCGUCCACCAGAGGGCACACGAGAAUUUGGCCGCGACCUCUGCCAGCGGAACAACAAGAACAACUCAGGCAGCAUGGGCCGGGCCCAGUGAGUUCACAUCGGGAAUGUCUAUGAGACAGUUCCCGGUCUACUCAGAAGUGCGACGGAAAACGUGAACCGUGUUACUACAGAAUUGGGGCGUGUCGAUGUGCGCCUCCUGUGAUCUUUCUGGUGGCUACUGCAGCUGCUAUAUUAUUUGCUGAUUGCACACUCAACUUCAGACAGUAAAAUCAAAGAUAUCUUGCCAUUAUUUUCCCAAAUCUCAUCAAUAUUACUAAUCGCCCAAACAUAUAUAAGACAAUUUUGCAUCACAUUUUUUCUGAAAUAACUUUUAAACAUCAUUUGCUUCCAUCUUCUGAUAUCUUAUUUGUAUACUCAAGAUUUAGAAAUUCUGUCAUGUAAUGUAGGCUGUAUACAGUGCUUAUAAUUGUGUUAUUCAACAAAUGACUAAGCAUCCUUCAGGACAGAAACUUAUACAGUGGUAAAGAUGUAGAAGAUGGAUGACCAAAACAGAGAGAGAAUUCUAGGACAGAAAAGAUGUAGAUGUUGGAUAACCAUCCUGGAACAGAACCGUAGGACAAGAAAGAUGUAGAUGAUGGGUGACCAAGCUGGGACAGAAUGCCAAGACAGGAAAGAUGUAGAAAUGAGUGGACCAGGAAGCAAAGAAUCAUUACACCAAGGUGUGCUCGGUUGUCUUGGACACUCCUAAUGUCCCCUGUGACAGGUCAGCCAGCAGCGACAAAGUCAUUAGCAUCGGGGUGGACACCCACCUUCCAGGCAACGAGAACAGCAGCUCAUCAUCGACGAUGUUUUCUUUUUCUAUUGUGGUGGGCAUCCGCAUACUAUAAGCGCAGCCAAUACACUAGCAGCACCACGUGUCGACGUCACGGGCACAGAGAAGACAUCACCUAUUGGCUGGAGACGCAGUGGCUCUGCUGUUACCACAACAGAAACAUUACAUCAUUGUGAGGCUAACAUCAGUACAGUCAGAAAUGUUUACCUGGCAUUUAAAACUGAUUUUUGUUUACAAUAAACAAAUUAUUUGAGCAA
Molecule: long non-coding RNA, 1385 nt
Filed under: Schistocerca americana (American grasshopper)
Lineage: Eukaryota; Metazoa; Arthropoda; Insecta; Orthoptera; Acrididae
Description: uncharacterized LOC124544592, transcript variant X1
Source: RNAcentral